AGGGAUACCACCGACGGCCCACUCAGUAGGUGGUCUACCCAGCUGAGGCAGCAUGGAGAACAUGGUCGGGAUGGGACAUCGCUACAGAACAACACCAACGUGGAUUAAGGUUUCUUGGUUGUCAUAUUUUCAGUUAUUCUGAAAUUUAUCUGCAGAAGACGUCCACAACGAUUUUAUAUUGAACUUUCAUGUGAAUCUGGAGUUUAUUUCAGUUUUAAAGCGCCUGUCUAAGAGCUGAAACCUCCGGAUCGUCUGCACAAGGAGAAACUGCUACUGUAGAUGAACUGUACUCAAGUCUCCCACAACAAACCAGAGACAUUUAUCAAACUGUCUCCUUUGGUCACCAUCAGUAUAAAUCAGAAACAAAUGACGGGCUGGGAAACAUUUAUGAAAAAAUUUUGAAUUAUAGAUCUGUCUUGAUGAAUACAACAGGAUUUCCUCGUUAUGUUGUACUUCACAACCUUUCUGUUAGUUUGCAUGUUGAACUUUAUCACAAAAAAUCAUUUAUCUUUUGGGCAUUUUUACUUAUUUCUACUUGAUUUUGCUUUUAUGUCAUGUUUCUGACAUAUCUGGUGUGUUUUUUUUUUCUGUAAACAGCUCCCACAUUUUUAUUUUAAAAAUGAGAUAUUA
Molecule: long non-coding RNA, 630 nt
Organism: Poeciliopsis prolifica (blackstripe livebearer)
Lineage: Eukaryota; Metazoa; Chordata; Actinopteri; Cyprinodontiformes; Poeciliidae
Exons: 4
Source: RefSeq, a predicted model, not a curated record